UCCUUAUAGCCAUUGGUUGUUUCAUGGUU
RNAcentral lists this non-coding RNA (29 nucleotides) under Mus musculus (house mouse). The record is from RNAcentral. Lineage: Eukaryota; Metazoa; Chordata; Mammalia; Rodentia; Muridae.